CUGACGAGUGGCGGACGGGUGAGUAAUGCUUGGGAAUCUGGCUUAUGGAGGGGGAUAACGACGGGAAACUGUCGCUAAUACCGCGUAUUAUCGGAAGAUGAAAGUGCGGGACUGAGAGGCCGCAUGCCAUAGGAUGAGCCCAAGUGGGAUUAGGUAGUUGGUGGGGUAAAGGCCUACCAAGCCUGCGAUCUCUAGCUGGUCUGAGAGGAUGACCAGCCACACUGGAACUGAGACACGGUCCAGACUCCUACGGGAGGCAGCAGUGGGGAAUAUUGCGCAAUGGGGGGAACCCUGACGCAGCCAUGCCGCGUGAAUGAAGAAGGCCUUCGGGUUGUAAAGUUCUUUCGGUAUUGAGGAAGGUUGAUGUGAUAAUAGAACAUCAAAUUGACGUUAAAUACAGAAGAAGCACCGGCUAACUCCGUGCCAGCAGCCGCGGUAAUACGGAGGGUGCGAGCGUUAAUCGGAAUAACUGGGCGUAAAGGGCACGCAGGCGGUUAUUUAAGUGAGGUGUGAAAGCCCUGGGCUUAACCUAGGAAUUGCAUUUCAGACUGGGUAACUAGAGUACUUUAGGGAGGGGUAGAAUUCCACGUGUAGCGGU
Molecule: ribosomal RNA, 598 nt
Filed under: Haemophilus influenzae
Lineage: Bacteria; Pseudomonadati; Pseudomonadota; Gammaproteobacteria; Pasteurellales; Pasteurellaceae
Description: bacterial SSU rRNA
Rfam family: Bacterial small subunit ribosomal RNA
Source: RNAcentral